RNAcentral lists this ribosomal RNA (277 nucleotides) under uncultured bacterium. Its description in RNAcentral is "partial 16S ribosomal RNA". It matches the Rfam family "Bacterial small subunit ribosomal RNA", at positions 78 to 353 of the family's 1533-position model. The record is from RNAcentral.
UCUAAGUUUGAUGGCGACCGGCGCACGGGUGAGUAACACGUAUCCAACCUGCCGAUGACUCGGGGAUAGCCUUUCGAAGGAAAGAUUAAUACCCGAUGGCAUAGUUCUUCCGCAUGGUGGAACUAUUAAAGAAUUUCGGUCAUCGAUGGGGAUGCGUUCCAUUAGGUUGUUGGCGGGGUAACGGCCCACCAAGCCUUCGAUGGAUAGGGGUUCUGAGAGGAAGGUCCCCCCACAUUGGAACUGAGACACGGUCCAAACUCCUACGGGAGGCAGCAUG